UCUCCGUAGGUGAACCUGCGGAGGGAUCAUUACAACGUAUCCACGUAUAAACCUCUGUGAACGUGUUCGUUUAAUUAUUUAAUUAAACACACAAAUCUGUUUUUGUGGGAUGAGAUGUCAAAGUCUCUUCUUCGCAUUAACAACCCCUUUACUUAUUAACCAUUUGUAAAUUAUUUUUAAUGCUAUUUUUCAGUUUAACCACUGAAAUCUAAAACAAUAUAAAAUUUGUUUAAGCACAACUCUUAGCAACGGAUAUCUAGGCUCUCGCAUCGAUGAAGAACCAGC
RNAcentral lists this unclassified non-coding RNA (285 nucleotides) under plant metagenome. RNAcentral describes it as "partial contains small subunit ribosomal RNA, internal transcribed spacer 1, and 5.8S ribosomal RNA". The record is from RNAcentral.